RNAcentral lists this transfer RNA (103 nucleotides) under Burkholderia pseudomallei. Its description in RNAcentral is "tRNA-Und (NNN) (tRNA-Und-NNN-3-1)". The record is from RNAcentral. RNAcentral also lists the same sequence under 3 other names. Lineage: Bacteria; Pseudomonadati; Pseudomonadota; Betaproteobacteria; Burkholderiales; Burkholderiaceae.
GUCGCGUGGCUGAGAGGUUCAAGGUUGACACCGAUAGAGCAGCCAGGUGGUUCUGCAAACCAACACCGGGUUGCCCGUGAGUUCGAAUCUCACCGUGACGCCA